CAGCAGCCGCGGUAAUACGUAGGGUGCAAACGUUAAUCGGAAUUACUGGGCGUAAAGCGUGCGCAGGCGGUUAUAUAAGAAAGAUGUGAAAUCCCCGGGCUCAACCUGGGAACUGCAUUUGUGACUGUAUAGCUAGAGUACGGCAGAGGGGGAUGGAAUUCCGCGUGUAGCAGUGAAAUGCGUAGAUAUGCGGAGGAACACCGAUGGCGAAGGCAAUCCCCUGGGCCUGUACUGACGCUCAUGCACGAAAGCGUGGGGAGCAAACAGGAUUAGAUACCCGGGUAGUCCCUGUCUCUUAUAC
This 301-nucleotide ribosomal RNA is filed under the name uncultured bacterium. Its description in RNAcentral is "partial 16S ribosomal RNA". It matches the Rfam family "Bacterial small subunit ribosomal RNA", at positions 509 to 807 of the family's 1533-position model. The record is from RNAcentral.